Molecule: transfer RNA, 71 nt
Filed under: Parcubacteria group bacterium RIFCSPHIGHO2_01_FULL_47_10b
Lineage: Bacteria
Description: tRNA-Pro
Rfam family: tRNA
About the family: Transfer RNA (tRNA) molecules are approximately 80 nucleotides in length. Their secondary structure includes four short double-helical elements and three loops (D, anti-codon, and T loops).
Source: RNAcentral
CUGGGCAUAGUGUAACGGUAGCACGUAACCUUCGGGAGGUUAUAGCCCCGGUUCGAAUCCGGGUGCCCAGA